Molecule: long non-coding RNA, 173 nt
Organism: Sinocyclocheilus anshuiensis
Lineage: Eukaryota; Metazoa; Chordata; Actinopteri; Cypriniformes; Cyprinidae
Exons: 3
Source: RefSeq, a predicted model, not a curated record
GUUUUCUCAAGUACCUCACAAACAGAGAACUGCAUUGCUUCAACAUCUGAAAUGGAAGAACAUUAUCAAGUAGACAACAUGUCAGACACACUUACGAUAGACAAAACUCCCAGCACCAAUGUGGUACAAAUGUCACAGAAUUCAGAACUGAAGAAACUGGAACGAGCCAUGUU